UGUGGAAGCUUCGGGUCGGCGGGUAAAUGUUGGUGGUGCAGGUUCCAGGACAGGGGAAAGGAAUCCAUCUCCAUCGCAAGAUUGAGCGGGCAUCCGGGCGCAGACAUGCAAGAAAACGCAAGCACAAAAGGGGCCUUUCUGAAUGCGGCCACAGGGAACCGCAACUCUGGCGGCAAUCGCCGUUCUUACCAGGAUAAAGAUAAGCCCGCCCAGAUCCGCUUCAGCAACAUUUCUGCGGGGAAAGAGUGCCAAUUUCAGAUGGUGGAGCACCAGAAAUUGAGUUGACUUGAAUGAAUAUUCUCGUGUUUUAAGUGGCAUGGAAUUUUACUGUGUUCGUGCUUAUGGAGAGGCUCUGGAAAUCCACCCUGGCUGAAAAUGCGGGCCUUAAUCCGAUAUCCACUGUUACAGAACUGAGAAACAGACAUGCACAAGGAGAGAAAACUGCUGGCAUUAAUGUCAGAAAGGAUCAACUAUCAACAGUUAAGAAACCAGCAGUCAACAAAUACACCACAGAUGAGCACUUGGUAUGGCAGCCAUGAAGACCUUGGAAAAGAUAUUAAGUUGCUCUGAUGUGUCUAUAUCAGAAUCAUGCAGUAAUUGUGAUGUUCUUGUGAUGUUCUAUGAAAAUGAGAGCUGGAUUUUUGGAGAAGCCAGUUAUCAAAAAUAUUAACAGUUUGGAACUGUAAUAAUAAAAUAAAAUAAAAUAAAAGCCCGUGCAGUAGACAUAUUUUGCACUCUCCAGUAUAUGAUGGAAUAGGUCACUUUCUUUGCCUAUGAAUGCUGGGGCCCCCUCUAGU
Long non-coding RNA from Protobothrops mucrosquamatus (brown spotted pit viper), 797 nucleotides. RefSeq lists it as uncharacterized. The record is from RefSeq and is a predicted model, not a curated record. The transcript is spliced from 3 exons. NCBI's taxonomy places the organism in Eukaryota, Metazoa, Chordata, Lepidosauria, Squamata, Viperidae.